RNAcentral lists this ribosomal RNA (439 nucleotides) under uncultured bacterium. RNAcentral's name for it is "partial 16S ribosomal RNA". It matches the Rfam family "Bacterial small subunit ribosomal RNA", at positions 339 to 795 of the family's 1533-position model. The record is from RNAcentral.
CUACGGGGGGCUCCAGUGAGGAAUAUUGCACAAUGGGGGGAACCCUGAUGCAGCAACGCCGCGUGGAGGAUGACGCAUUUCGGUGUGUAAACUCCUUUUAUAUGUCAAGAAAAUGACGGUAGCAUAUGAAUAAGCGCCGGCUAACUCCGUGCCAGCAGCCGCGGUAAUACGAAGGGCGCAAGCGUUACUCGGAAUCACUGGGCGUAAAGGACGCGUAGGCGGGUUGAAAAGUCAGGUGUGAAAGCCUACAGCUUAACUGUAGAACUGCACUUGAAACUCUCAAUCUAGAGUAUGGGAGGGGCAGAUGGAAUUAGUGGUGUAGGGGUAAAAUCCGUAGAUAUCACUAGGAAUACCUAAAGCGAAGGCGAUCUGCUGGAACAUUACUGACGCUAAGGCGUGAAAGCGUGGGGGGCAAACAGGAUUAGAUACCCCGGUAGUC